GGGAAGGGGCAGGAUUUGCUUAAGCAGGAUCCCUGGGCUGAGAGGAGUUCUUCAAAUCAAGUUCUUCUUUGAGGCAGACAUUUUACCAGUUAAACUUUAAACCCCAAUCUUUAUCCUAUCUUUCUCCAAAAGGCACGCUCUGUCUUCCUCCUAAUUAGCAUGAAAUUAUUCCUGUUUUCCUCAUUAGAAAUUGAGAUUGAUUUUUUUUAAAAGACAAAAUUCAUACCUCUGCUUAAUGUUUAUUUGCUUCAUUUAGAAGCAGUGCAUUUUCAUCAGAGAGACUAAAAAGCCCUGAGAGAUUCAGUAAAGAAGGACCAUGCAUGAGGGUCACAUGUUUAGGAGUCAGCCAGGCCUCCUGCUUGGGGACUCAAACCCAGCCAAGGCCUGCCGCAGGCCACCCACACAGUGCUAAGCCUGAGCACAUGAGGGCCGGUUCCCUUUGCGCAUUAGCUACGGCGUGGGUUCCUGGGAACAUCUGCACGGCCACAGCAAAAGCCUGCACUCCAAUUCUUUGAGCCAGAGCAGCAGAUAAGUGUUUGUUUUACUUUUCUUUUCAGGGAUCGAACUCAUGACCUCAUGCUUGCCAGGCAGGUGUGUGAGUGCUGAGCUAAAUCCCCAGCCUGGACUGCAUAUUUUAACAAGCUCUCAGAGCUCCCAUCAGAACUGUGUCUCAGAGAAGCUGAGCCCUCUUCCAGGCCCAGAAGUGGGGCUGACUGGCCCCAGGGACCUGCCAUAGCCCUGCCCAGGAAUGGAACUGUAAGAAAAUUUAGACCAAUGAACUGUGAGGGAAAAUCUGAUGGACACACUCUAGGAAAAGUUUCUUUUUUUCCUUAAAGUCCUGUGGAGGUUGGGGAGGGGUCUUCCUCAUUCUUUAAUACACGAUUCUGCAGAAUGUGA
Molecule: long non-coding RNA, 897 nt
Organism: Cavia porcellus (domestic guinea pig)
Lineage: Eukaryota; Metazoa; Chordata; Mammalia; Rodentia; Caviidae
Exons: 4
Source: RefSeq, a predicted model, not a curated record